Long non-coding RNA from Oncorhynchus tshawytscha (Chinook salmon), 2271 nucleotides. Lineage: Eukaryota; Metazoa; Chordata; Actinopteri; Salmoniformes; Salmonidae. The record is from Ensembl.
UUUUAACAAUAUAUAAUUUAUUUACAUAGAUUUCAGGUUGAAUUACUAUACAAACCUUUCUGAAAUGUCAUCGUUAGAUAUAUACAUAAGGCCAAGUAAACACUUGAAAGCACUUAGAAACGAAUUUCCAAAAUUCUACCCACAAAUCCAUAUCAUCGUUAUCAUUGUCUGAAAAGUUACAUAAAAGUGCCUCGACUAAACACGCUUUUUUCUAUCUCCACAAAUGUUUUUUUGACCACACUUUACACUGAGUAUACAAAACAUUAUGAACACCUGCUCUUUCCAUGACAUAGACUGAAAGCUAUGAUCCCUUGUUGACGUCACAUGUUAAAUCCACUUCAAUCAGUGUCAAUGAAGGGGAGGAGACAAGUUAAAGAAGGAUUUUUAAGCCUUGUGACAAUUGAGACAUGGGUUGUGUAUGUGUGCCAUUCAGAGGGUGAAUAUGGGUAAGACAACAUAUUUAAGUGCCUGUGAACGGGGUAUGAUAGUAGGUGCCAGGCGCAGUGGUUUGACUGUGUGAAGAACUGCAACGCUGCUGGGUUUUUCUCGCCCAACAGUUUCCUGCGUGUCCACCAUCCAAAGGAUGUCCAGCCAACUUGACACAACUGUGGGAAGGAUUGGAGUCAACAUGGGUCAGCAUCCCUGUGGAACGCUUUCGACACCUUGAAGAGUCCAUACCCCAACAAAUUGAGUCUGUUCUGAGGGCCAAAUGGGGGGGGAUAGAGGAGGGUGUUCCUAAUGUUUGGUAUAGCCAGUGACAAUAAGGAACAGAAAAGUUUAAAAAAAUAAAAAAUAAAUAAAAAAAGGAAUUAUAUAAUUGCAUAAGCGCUGUGUUGCGUGAGAUACAUACAGCAUUUAUUUUACUUGCAGAAAGGCAAGGAACAUUGAAUCAAGGAAAUAAAUAGAAAAAAACAUAUAGAAGUCGAUUUAUUUUCUGUUGAAAAAAGGAAAUUGAUUUCAGUCAGAGUGAAACAUCAAGAUCACACACAUGGAAAUUCUUGACACUGAAUAACAAUGAUUGAAGCUGAGGAAAUGUAGUGUGUGAAAGGUAUCCAUUUUUCCAUCUAAGCAGAGUCUACAACUCUCUUGGUAAAAGCGUCCAUGUCAUUUUAAAAAACUGUCAAACUUGAGCUUUCAAUCCGAGAGAGAAGAAAGCUUUGCGACGGAAAUGGCAUUUGUCAUCCAUUAUGACAGCUAGUGACGUUUGUGUCAGACAAAGACCAUGGAGUCCCAAAUUGGACCCUAUUCCCUAUGUAGUGCAAUAUGUUAGCCCAGGUCAAAAAUAGUGGAUUUACAUAGGGGAUAGGGUGCCAUUUGGGAGCAAUCCUAAGUUAGAUGUUAUCUGUAGUGGGUAGGCGGGAGUCUGAGUCCAGUGUCUUCCGGGGGUGGUUUGAGAUACUCGGCUGUUAUGCACUUAGAAAACACAUCACUGUCCAUCAUGGAAAAGGUGAUAACGACUGUGUUAAACAGUCAUAAUCUCACUAUAGAACUGCCAUGAACCUUCUAUGAUGUGAUGGAUUGUGCAGCCUGGCCACCCGUGACACAAGUCAAUAUUCAACGUCCAUCCAUGUCUGAGGACGUCGGGAGAUGAAGUGGAAACCGGCCACUAGGGGGAAACGGCGAGCACUUUACCUUCAAGCAGGUUUCUGUUUUACUAUGGGUGAUGGGGAUGGUGGACAGGCAAAAGCAUCUGCCUCUUAUUUUAAAGGUUGCGAAUUCAAAUCCAGCGAUUAAAAAUCUGUUUAUUUUGUUUUAAGCCCAACCCUUACCUUAAACAAUCAGAGUUAAUGCCUAACCUUAACCUUAAACACUUUGAAAUUUGACAUUUGGAACAACUACGAAAAUUGACGUUUGAGAAACAUGGAUGAACGUUUUAUUCUGACAUGAGACUUGAGACCUGGUUGGAAAGGUCUGUGUGUAAACUAUUGGUGUUCUGUCUCCAGUAGUUACCAGUGUAGUAGUAGUGGUGUUCUGUCUCCAGUAGUUACCAGUGUAGUAGUAGUGGUGUUCUGUCUCCAUUAGUUACCAGUGUAGUGGUGUUCUGUCUCCAUUAGUUACCAUAGUAGUGGUGUUCUGUCUCCAUUAGUUACCAGUGUAGUGGUGUUCUGUCUCCAGUAGUUACCAGUGUAGUAGUAGUGGUGUUCUGUCUCCAUUAGUUACCAGUGUAGUGGUGUUCUGUCUCCAGUAGUUACCAGUGUAGUAGUAGUGGUGUUCUGUCUCCAGUAGUUACCAGUGUAGUAGUAGUGGUGUUCUGUCUCCAGUAGUUACCAG